Molecule: long non-coding RNA, 279 nt
Filed under: Trifolium pratense (red clover)
Lineage: Eukaryota; Viridiplantae; Streptophyta; Magnoliopsida; Fabales; Fabaceae
Description: long non-coding RNA (TPRA_LNC009113)
Source: RNAcentral
AAUAAUCUGACGUGUCAUGAAAGGAGUUCCACGUAAAGUACCAAUAAUUUUCAUUUUUCCGUAGAUGCCACCGCCACCACAUUCCUCUAUACAAAAAAUCAAUAUAAAUAUAUCACACGAGAUUCUCCAUUUUCUUCAUCAAUCACAAUUCACAAUCAAUUUUCAAUACACAGAAAACUCUUUUUCCAAAAAAAACAACACACAAUGGAAACCGCAACCACCCUCACCGGACUCCUCCAAGCCGUCGCCGAAAAAUUCCCUUCCCGACGUGCCAUCUCC